RNAcentral lists this ribosomal RNA (377 nucleotides) under uncultured bacterium. Its description in RNAcentral is "bacterial SSU rRNA". It matches the Rfam family "Bacterial small subunit ribosomal RNA", at positions 523 to 898 of the family's 1533-position model. The record is from RNAcentral.
AUACGUAGGGGGCGAGCGUUGUCCGGAAUUACUGGGCGUAAAGGGAGCGUAGGCGGCCGAUUAAGUUGGAUGUGAAAUCCCCGGGCUUAACUUGGGUGGUGCAUCCAAUACUGGUUGGCUAGAGUACAGGAGAGGAAAGCGGAAUUCCUAGUGUAGCGGUGAAAUGCAUAGAUAUUAGGAGGAACAUCGGUGGCGAAGGCGGCUUUCUGGACUGACACUGACGCUGAGGCUCGAAAGCGUGGGGAGCAAACAGGAUUAGAUACCCUGGUAGUCCACGCUGUAAACGAUGAAUACUAGGUGUAGGGGGUGUAAACUCCCCCUGUGCCGCAGCUAACGCAAUAAGUAUUCCGCCUGGGGAGUACGGCCGCAAGGUUGAA